GAAAGAAAGAAAGGGAGGGAGGGAGGGAGGGGAAAAAAAUGGAAGAAAAAGGAAUAACUGAAGGUGUGAUCGUGCUUUAUUACAUGUGAGAGGCGAAAGUAGUUCUUCUUCUUCUUCUUCUUUGUCUACUUCUACUUAUUAUUAUCUUUCUUGCCUUUUUUUUUCUCUCUCUCUCUCUCCCUUUUUUUUUC
Molecule: microRNA precursor, 191 nt
Filed under: Trypanosoma vivax Y486
Lineage: Eukaryota; Euglenozoa; Kinetoplastea; Trypanosomatida; Trypanosomatidae
Source: RNAcentral